GCAGGAAGCUGUUUGAACAGGAAGUUGCUCAGCAGGAAGCUCAGAAGCAACAGCAACUUCAACAACAACAGCAGCAGCAACAGCAGCAGCAGCAGCUCCAGACUCUGACUUAUGA
Molecule: microRNA precursor, 115 nt
Filed under: Poecilia formosa (Amazon molly)
Lineage: Eukaryota; Metazoa; Chordata; Actinopteri; Cyprinodontiformes; Poeciliidae
Description: miRNA (ENSPFOG00000021034.1)
Source: RNAcentral